Molecule: transfer RNA, 76 nt
Filed under: Gammaproteobacteria bacterium
Lineage: Bacteria; Pseudomonadati; Pseudomonadota; Gammaproteobacteria
Description: tRNA-Lys
Rfam family: tRNA
About the family: Transfer RNA (tRNA) molecules are approximately 80 nucleotides in length. Their secondary structure includes four short double-helical elements and three loops (D, anti-codon, and T loops).
Source: RNAcentral
GGGUCGUUAGCUCAGUUGGUAGAGCAGCUGACUCUUAAUCAGCCUGUCAUCGGUUCGAUCCCGAUACGACCCACCA